UGCGUGUUCGAGAACUAUGUAGACAUGACCAAGACACUCUCUGGUCAAUACCCAAUAGCGGGACCUGGAUGCCCAUAUUGGAUGCUACAUAUUAUACGAAGACCUUAUCGAUUGAACCUCUAUGUCAAGGAUUCAGUUAAUCCCGUAUAUCAUGCCCUUUGUCCUUCGUUAUGUUACUUGCCCGAGAUUCGAUCGUCGGUAUCUCCAUACCUAUUUCAAUCUCGUUACCGGCAAGUCUCUUUACUCGUUCCAUAAUAC
This 258-nucleotide long non-coding RNA is filed under the name Hordeum vulgare. RNAcentral describes it as "long non-coding RNA (HVUL_LNC003358)". Lineage: Eukaryota; Viridiplantae; Streptophyta; Magnoliopsida; Poales; Poaceae. The record is from RNAcentral.